UCCGGCUUAACGCCGGCAGUCUACCUAGAGUGCCCAACUUAAUGGUGGCAACUAAAGGCGAGGGUUGCGCUCGUUGCGGGACUUAACCCAACAUCUCACGACACGAGCUGACGACAGCCAUGCAGCACCUGUGUUCCCGCCAGCCGAACUGAAGGGAUCCUUCUCUGGAUCCCACACGGGACAUGUCAAGGGCUGGUAAGGUUCUUCGCGUUGCUUCGAAUUGAACCACAUGCUCCACCGCUUGUGCGGGCCCCCGUCAAUUCCUUUGAGUUUCAAACUUGCGUUCGUACUCCCCAGGUGGGAUACUUAUCACUUUCGCUUAGCCACUGAGAUUGCUCCCAACAGCUAGUAUCCAUCGUUUACGGCGUGGACUAC
RNAcentral lists this unclassified non-coding RNA (375 nucleotides) under uncultured bacterium. RNAcentral describes it as "contains 16S-23S intergenic spacer region". The record is from RNAcentral.